AUCCAGCUGACGAGUCCCAAAUAGGACGAAACACGAGUCAAACUCGAU
Molecule: non-coding RNA, 48 nt
Filed under: Schistosoma mansoni
Lineage: Eukaryota; Metazoa; Platyhelminthes; Trematoda; Strigeidida; Schistosomatidae
Source: RNAcentral